UACGAAGGGGGCGAGCGUUGUUCGGAUUUACUGGGCGUAAAGGGCGCGUAGGCGGCGCCGGAAGUCAGGCGUGAAAGCCCCGGGCUCAACCUGGGAACAGCGCUUGAGACGGGAUGGCUAGAGAUCGGGAGAGGAGAGUGGAAUUCCCAGUGUAGAGGUGAAAGUCGUAGAUAUUGGGAAGAACACCGGUGGCGAAGGCGGCUCUCUGGACCGAUACUGACGCUGAGGCGCGAAAGCGUGGGGAGCAAACAGG
This 253-nucleotide ribosomal RNA is filed under the name uncultured bacterium. Its description in RNAcentral is "partial 16S ribosomal RNA". It matches the Rfam family "Bacterial small subunit ribosomal RNA", at positions 524 to 776 of the family's 1533-position model. The record is from RNAcentral.